Molecule: unclassified non-coding RNA, 508 nt
Filed under: Hevea brasiliensis (rubber tree)
Lineage: Eukaryota; Viridiplantae; Streptophyta; Magnoliopsida; Malpighiales; Euphorbiaceae
Source: RNAcentral
UUCACAUAGUAGUAGCAGAAAUCGGCGAGAAUGAAUGUCUGGACGAUUUCAGAGAGAAGAACCAUCGAUGGCCACAGCCCGUAUCCCAAAGCGGUCAACAAACGCCCUCGGGUGUCCAUGACUUGAAAGACCCAGUGUGCACAGCUCAAAAAUCUGGCAACCCCCAGAGCAAACACAUAGUGAGCUGUAAAUGGCUCGACGAUCUUUGUAUUUUGCAUGAGACGCAAUUGUGGCAAUACCGAGACAGCUUCCAGGUACACACAAAAGGCCCAACAGAUUCUGUUCAGGAUAUUGUGUGACGUUGAAGGAUGAACUAGCAAGGCUAGUACAGCACAAGGAACCACCACAUAAUACAUUGCGAAGUUGUCCUUAUCAUCCAUGUAGCUAGACCUCAAUUUAAACCGGAUCAUAUAGAUUACCCACACAGUAGUCACGAGAGUAGCAGAAUCUAGCAGGGUAUGUAUGUCAUAUUCCAUAACGAAACUGCAGUACAGUCUAACAGCUAGAA